Long non-coding RNA from Aegilops tauschii subsp. strangulata, 783 nucleotides. RefSeq lists it as uncharacterized. The record is from RefSeq and is a predicted model, not a curated record. NCBI's taxonomy places the organism in Eukaryota, Viridiplantae, Streptophyta, Magnoliopsida, Poales, Poaceae.
GCGGAAAGCGCCCUCUCUCCCUCUCCCCUCCUCUCCUCCGUGACCUCUCUCUCCAUGGCCGCCAAGAGGAAGCUCCGCAGGUCGCCGCCGGCGAAUGCGAAGGCGUAAGCCAAGGAAGAAGACGCGGAGGGGCUCUUCUCUUCGCGCUCCUUCGCCCGCCUCCAAGGAGGCUCCUCAUCUGAUCUGAGCAAGUAGCAAAAGCAGGGAAACACACAUGUUGGUUAUUAAGCAGCAGCAGCAGGAUCAAAUCAGAAGCUUGGAGAAGGAGGGAUCUAGAGGAAGGGGUCUUGUUAUUAAACUGAGUACUGAGCUGUGGUGUCGAUGUAAACAAAGUGUUUUGUUCCCGAAAUACAGCCGUGGUGAUUGUGACAGAGGAUGAUCCAGAUUGCAGCCGUCAUCCUGUCGAUUAUCCCUAGGCCCGGCUGCGCAUCAGACAUAAAGAAAGUUAUAUUAGGAACGCUGGCCUUGGUUUCAGUCAUUAUCAAGGUUCCUAAUUGAGCGAUGCAGCUCUACCAAUGUUCAAGGAGUGUAAACACCUCUGAAUUUUGUUUACAACAUCGACAGCAGUGUUAACCAUCAUGUCAUGAAAAUGCACAUCCAGAUGCAAUCUAUACUGCUAGAAAGAAGAGACACAAUCUGUUAAAGAUUCCGAGGUCACUAAAAAAAAGGGAGAUGUGCACUGUUCAAAGAUUAUUAUUAUUUUCCUUGCACUUGAUAGUUGAUACAUAUGACGGUUUUGGUUGAAUUUUUUAAUACUCAUUAAAAUAAACCCUUUUUCUGUUA